UGGCGGCAGGCCUAACACAUGCAAGUCGAGCGGUAACAUUUCUAGCUUGCUAGAAGAUGACGAGCGGCGGACGGGUGAGUAACGCGUAGAAAUCUACCUAGUAGUGGGGGAUAGCCCAGAGAAAUUUGGAUUAAUACCGCAUACGCCCUACGGGGGAAAGCGGGGGAUCUUCGGACCUCGUGCUAUUAGAUGAGCCUGCGUCGGAUUAGCUUGUUGGUGAGGUAAUGGCUCACCAAGGCGACGAUCCGUAGCUGGUCUGAGAGGAUGACCAGCCACACUGGAACUGAGACACGGUCCAGACUCCUACGGGAGGCAGCAGUGGGGAAUAUUGCACAAUGGGCGCAAGCCUGAUGCAGCCAUGCCGCGUGUGUGAAGAAGGCCUUAGGGUUGUAAAGCACUUUCAGCAGUGAGGAAAGGGGUGUCGUUAAUAGCGCCAUCCUGUGACGUUAACUGCAGAAGAAGGACCGGCUAACUCCGUG
Molecule: ribosomal RNA, 479 nt
Filed under: uncultured bacterium
Lineage: Bacteria
Description: bacterial SSU rRNA
Rfam family: Bacterial small subunit ribosomal RNA
Source: RNAcentral